RNAcentral lists this ribosomal RNA (130 nucleotides) under Datura reburra. Its description in RNAcentral is "partial 5.8S ribosomal RNA". It matches the Rfam family "5.8S ribosomal RNA", at positions 30 to 154 of the family's 154-position model. From Rfam's summary of the family: 5.8S ribosomal RNA (5.8S rRNA) is a component of the large subunit of the eukaryotic ribosome. The record is from RNAcentral. Lineage: Eukaryota; Viridiplantae; Streptophyta; Magnoliopsida; Solanales; Solanaceae.
GCAUCGAUGAAGAACGUAGCGAAAUGCGAUACUUGGUGUGAAUUGCAGAAUCCCGUGAACCAUCGAGUCUUUGAACGCAAGUUGCGCCCAAAGCCAUUAGGCCGAGGGCACGUCUGCCUGGGCGUCACGC